RNAcentral lists this transfer RNA (94 nucleotides) under Dictyoglomota bacterium. RNAcentral's name for it is "Dictyoglomi bacterium (hydrothermal vent metagenome) tRNA-Ser". It matches the Rfam family "tRNA". Rfam says of the family: Transfer RNA (tRNA) molecules are approximately 80 nucleotides in length. The record is from RNAcentral. RNAcentral also lists the same sequence under 1 other name. Lineage: Bacteria; Pseudomonadati; Dictyoglomota.
GGAGAGGUGGCCGAGUGGCCGAAGGCGUCCGCCUGCUAAGCGGAUACACGGUUGAAAGGCCGUGUCGAGGGUUCGAAUCCCUCCCUCUCCGCCA